CAGGAUGAACGCUAGCUACAGGCUACACAUGCAAGUCGAGGGGCGAGUCAGGGCGAUAGCUGCUGUGCCGCUGGCGACCGGCGCACGGGUGAGUAACGCGUAUCCAACCUCCCCCUUAGUAGAGGAUAGCCCGGCGAAAGUCGGAUUAAUACUCUAUGUUCUUCAAUGCGGACAUCUAACUUGAAGCAAAGAUUCAUCGCUAAGGGAUGGGGAUGCGUCUGAUUAGCUUGUCGGCGGGGUAACGGCCCACCGAGGCGACGAUCAGUAGGGGUUCUGAGAGGAAGGUCCCCCACAUUGGUACUGAGACACGGACCAAACUCCUACGGGAGGCAGCAGUGAGGAAUAUUGGUCAAUGGGCGCGAGCCUGAACCAGCCAAGUAGCGUGCAAGGAUGACUGCCCUAUGGGUUGUAAACUGCUUUUUAUGCGGGAAUAAAGUCAGGUACGCGUACCUGUUUGUAUGUACCGCAUGAAUAAGGACCGGCUAAUUCCGUGCCAGCCGCGGC
This 504-nucleotide ribosomal RNA is filed under the name uncultured bacterium. RNAcentral's name for it is "bacterial SSU rRNA". It matches the Rfam family "Bacterial small subunit ribosomal RNA", at positions 25 to 518 of the family's 1533-position model. The record is from RNAcentral.